RNAcentral lists this ribosomal RNA (445 nucleotides) under soybean epiphytic bacterium EP405. RNAcentral's name for it is "bacterial SSU rRNA". It matches the Rfam family "Bacterial small subunit ribosomal RNA", at positions 889 to 1334 of the family's 1533-position model. The record is from RNAcentral.
CAAGGUUAAAACUCAAAUGAAUUGACGGGGGCCCGCACAAGCGGUGGAGCAUGUGGUUUAAUUCGAUGCAACGCGAAGAACCUUACCUACUCUUGACAUCCAGAGAACUUAGCAGAGAUGCUUUGGUGCCUUCGGGAACUCUGAGACAGGUGCUGCAUGGCUGUCGUCAGCUCGUGUUGUGAAAUGUUGGGUUAAGUCCCGCAACGAGCGCAACCCUUAUCCUUUGUUGCCAGCGGUUAGGCCGGGAACUCAAAGGAGACUGCCAGUGAUAAACUGGAGGAAGGUGGGGAUGACGUCAAGUCAUCAUGGCCCUUACGAGUAGGGCUACACACGUGCUACAAUGGCGCAUACAAAGAGAAGCGACCUCGCGAGAGCAAGCGGACCUCAUAAAGUGCGUCGUAGUCCGGAUUGGAGUCUGCAACUCGACUCCAUGAAGUCGGAAUCG